This 540-nucleotide ribosomal RNA is filed under the name uncultured bacterium. RNAcentral's name for it is "partial 16S ribosomal RNA". It matches the Rfam family "Bacterial small subunit ribosomal RNA", at positions 28 to 526 of the family's 1533-position model. The record is from RNAcentral.
GAUGAACGUUGGCGGUGUGCCUAAUACAUGCAAGUCGUACGCAUUCUCGUUUCUGAUUGACGGUGCUUGCACCUAAUUGACGAGACAUUGGAAUGAGUGGCGGACGGGUGAGUAACACGUGGGUAACCUGCCCAGAAGCGGGGGAUGACAUUUGGAAGCAGAUGCUAAUACCGCAUAAAAGUCAAAACCACAUGGUUUUGAUUUAAAAGAUGGCCUUUGUGCUAUCACUUCUGGAUGGACCCGCGGCGUAUUAGCUAGUUGGUAAGGUAACGGCUUACAAAGGCAAUGAUACGUAGCCGAACUGAGAGGUUGGUCGGCCACAAUGGGACUGAGACACGGCCCAUACUCCUACGGGAGGCAGCAGUAGGGAAUCUUCCACAAUGGGAGCAAGCCUGAUGGAGCAACACCGCGUGAGUGAAGAAGGGUUUCGGCUCGUAAAACUCUGUUGUUAAAGAAGAACGUAUCUAAGAGUAACUGCUUAGGUAGUGACGGUAUUUAACCAGAAAGCCACGGCUAACUACGUGCCAGCCGCCGUAAUAC